This 556-nucleotide ribosomal RNA is filed under the name Salmonella enterica subsp. enterica serovar Infantis. RNAcentral's name for it is "partial 23S ribosomal RNA". It matches the Rfam family "Bacterial large subunit ribosomal RNA", at positions 711 to 1243 of the family's 2925-position model. The record is from RNAcentral. Lineage: Bacteria; Pseudomonadati; Pseudomonadota; Gammaproteobacteria; Enterobacterales; Enterobacteriaceae. RNAcentral also lists the same sequence under 2 other names.
AGACCCGAAACCCGGUGAUCUAGCCAUGGGCAGGUUGAAGGUUGGGUAACACUAACUGGAGGACCGAACCGACUAAUGUUGAAAAAUUAGCGGAUGACCUGUGGCUGGGGGUGAAAGGCCAAUCAAACCGGGAGAUAGCUGGUUCUCCCCGAAAGCUAUUUAGGUAGCGCCUCGUGAAUUCAUCUCCGGGGGUAGAGCACUGUUUCGGCUAGGGGGCCAUCCCGGCUUACCAACCCGAUGCAAACUGCGAAUACCGGAGAAUGUUAUCACGGGAGACACACGGCGGGUGCUAACGUCCGUCGUGAAGAGGGAAACAACCCAGACCGCCAGCUAAGGUCCCAAAGUCAUGGUUAAGUGGGAAACGAUGUGGGAAGGCCCAGACAGCCAGGAUGUUGGCUUAGAAGCAGCCAUCAUUUAAAGAAAGCGUAAUAGCUCACUGGUCGAGUCGGCCUGCGCGGAAGAUGUAACGGGGCUAAACCAUGCACCGAAGCUGCGGCAGCGAACGUAUCACUUAAAGCGAUUCAGCGGGUUACGAUUGACGGAGCGAAGCGACGUC